AUACGGAGGAUGCAAGCGUUAUCCGGAUUUAUUGGGCGUAAAGGGUGCGUAGGCGGCCUUGUAAGUCAGAUGUGAAAGAUCAUGGCUUAACUGUGGUAAGCAUUUGAAACUGCAGGGCUUGAGUACAGGAGAGGAGAGAGGAAUUCCUAGUGUAGCGGUGAAAUGCGUAGAUAUUAGGAGGAAUACCAGUGGCGAAGGCGACUCUCUGGACUGAUACUGACGCUGAGGCACGAAAGCGUGGGGAGCAAACAGGAUUAGAUACCCUGGUAGUCCACGCUAUAAACGAUGAGUGCUAGGUGUCGGGGGUCAAACCUCGGUGCCGCAGUUAACACAUUAAGCACUCCGCCUGGGGAGUACGGCCGCAAGGCUGAAACUCAAAGGAAUUGGCGGGG
This 392-nucleotide ribosomal RNA is filed under the name uncultured bacterium. RNAcentral's name for it is "partial 16S ribosomal RNA". It matches the Rfam family "Bacterial small subunit ribosomal RNA", at positions 523 to 918 of the family's 1533-position model. The record is from RNAcentral.